This is a long non-coding RNA of Lactuca sativa (garden lettuce), 1241 nucleotides long. RefSeq lists it as uncharacterized. NCBI's taxonomy places the organism in Eukaryota, Viridiplantae, Streptophyta, Magnoliopsida, Asterales, Asteraceae. The record is from RefSeq and is a predicted model, not a curated record.
CCACCACCCCCUUUUUUGGCAGUUUCGAUUUUAGGGUUUCACAAAAUCGAAACUUUUGUCCGCCUCCAUUUAGCAGGAUCCAUCGACGAAAUUUUUUAUUCUCCCGCUUCUCUCUAUCUCCCUCCUUGAUUCGUUUUCCCUCUUCUCUCUCAUUGUUUCCUACUCGCACCUCUCCCUUACACCCCCUCUCGUCUUCGUUUUCAUUGUCGGAGUUCCAUCUUACCGCCGAUGCGGUCAAUGUUGUACAUAGAGACUCUUUUAGCCCCGGUCAUCUCUCUUCGCCAUCACCAAAUCCGUAUAUCUUCAUCACCGAUUCAUCGUCCCCCUUUUUAGCUCCGGUCGUUUGCGUUUCGUCGCCGUCAUCGGCUUGCCAUCGCCAUUGUCAUCAUUGUUUCAAUUCGAUGCCUUCUUCAAACUAUUGAUGCCUUUUCAAACUCCUCUGUUCCAUUUGUUAUCAAGGCGACCAAGGUUAUUACUCCAUGGCUCAAUUGCCCUCAUCUCUCUCUUUGCACCUUUGCUCGAUUUCUUCCCUAAAAAGGUUCGGAAAGCUGGUGAUCCAGGUAAUCACAGUUUUGCAAUCUUCCCUACGGGUAAGGAGGUCAAUAUGACUUUUGAGUUUAUUGAGAAUCAAAUCAAUCAAUUUUGAGUAAAUAUUCAACUUUUUUUUAUGAGUUUCAGUGAUUAUCCUACUGUGGCUUCUACAUGAGAAUGAAGUUUUUGAUCUUGUGUAUGACAGGUCCGUCAACAGUAAUUUUUAGAAUUAAACUAGGUUUAGCAGUUGGAAAUCAACUUGGUUUGGUAAGAGAUGAUUCUAUAUUAUAUAUUUAAUUACUUAUCUUUUGUUUUUAAUGUAUAUUUGCUUACUUGACCUAGUUGCAUAAAUGUUUGAGUUUGUAGAUCUGUGUAUUUAAAUUUCAGUUCAAAAGAUACAAUCCUACACAUUGUCACAACAAUAAAACAAGAAAGUACGUUUUGUGUUAGGUAUAUGUUUCUUUAUUUUAGUAAUGUUUAAAUUGUUUUCGGUUUACAAACAAGCUGAAAAUGGUGAGCCCAAGUGUUGUGUGUGUUUCCACUUUCUUGAUUCCCCUGUUGAAGCAAUUCAAUAUAUGGACCAUGGAGCUACUAGCUAUUUUGGAACAAUUGAAUUUGUAAACAUGUAGUGUUUGUUUUUUUAAUUAAUUAAUAUUUACUUUUGUAAGAUAUUUUGAACAAUGGAAUGAAAUGUGUCAAAGUUGGUAUUA